AACGAACGCUGGCGGCAUGCCUAACACAUGCAAGUCGAACGAAGCCUUCGGGCUUAGUGGCGCACGGGUGCGUAACGCGUGGGAAUCUGCCCUUGGGUUCGGAAUAACAGUUAGAAAUGACUGCUAAUACCGAAUGAUGUCUUCGGACCAAAGAUUUAUCGCCCAAGGAUGAGCCCGCGUCGGAUUAGCUAGUUGGUGAGGUAAAAGGCUCACCAAGGCGACGAUCCGUAGCUGGUCUGAGAGGAUGAUCAGCCACACUGGGACUGAGACACGGCCCAGACUCCUACGGGAGGCAGCAGUGGGGAAGUAUUGG
Molecule: ribosomal RNA, 313 nt
Filed under: uncultured bacterium
Lineage: Bacteria
Description: bacterial SSU rRNA
Rfam family: Bacterial small subunit ribosomal RNA
Source: RNAcentral